UAUUUUUCAUUUUAUUUUAUUUUGUUUUUCCGGGAUUUGGGGGUCUUAUACUUGAGAGUGAGUGUUAAAAGAUUCUUAGAUUUUCAUUCAUAGACAGAUAUGAGAUACCACCCAGCAAACCAGCUUUGCUGGAGCGCGUGACUACACGCUCCUCUACCAUUAUAUUUAACCAAACUUUUUGUAUCAGACGUGAUUAUGAAUUAAUAAGAGUAUUGUUGAUUUAAACUAU
Molecule: long non-coding RNA, 229 nt
Filed under: Carica papaya (papaya)
Lineage: Eukaryota; Viridiplantae; Streptophyta; Magnoliopsida; Brassicales; Caricaceae
Description: long non-coding RNA (CPAP_LNC007094)
Source: RNAcentral